GCCACUCUCUUUGGCCGGAUUAAUGAUAAUAUAAUUAAUGCCGAUUAUGCGAGAGUAGGCAGAUUACAAUUUGGUGGGAAUUACGCCUUCGGUGCCCAUAACGGUUAUCAAAUCCGUGGGAAAACUAUCAUCCUUGUUUCCCUCCACA
RNAcentral lists this small nucleolar RNA (148 nucleotides) under Drosophila grimshawi. RNAcentral's name for it is "snoRNA:GH25873". The record is from RNAcentral. Lineage: Eukaryota; Metazoa; Arthropoda; Insecta; Diptera; Drosophilidae.